This 24-nucleotide non-coding RNA is filed under the name Arabidopsis thaliana (thale cress). The record is from RNAcentral. Lineage: Eukaryota; Viridiplantae; Streptophyta; Magnoliopsida; Brassicales; Brassicaceae.
UGACCCGUUCAAGUCCAAGGCGUG